CGUUCCCGGGCCUUGUACACACCGCCCGUCAAGCCACGGAAGUUGGGAGCACCCGAAGUCGUUUACCUAACCGCAAGGAGGGUGACGCCGAAGGUGAAACUGAUGACUGGGGCU
Molecule: ribosomal RNA, 114 nt
Filed under: uncultured bacterium
Lineage: Bacteria
Description: partial 16S ribosomal RNA
Rfam family: Bacterial small subunit ribosomal RNA
Source: RNAcentral